CUUGUCUGGUUUCUCUUCAGAUCACAUAAAUCUCUCACCUUUUACCAAAAUUUCUGUAGAGUGGAACAGUUAUGAAUAUAUUACUAUUUUUUGAGGACACUGAGAGGCAGCAGAGUU
RNAcentral lists this small nuclear RNA (117 nucleotides) under Phascolarctos cinereus (koala). Its description in RNAcentral is "U5 spliceosomal RNA (ENSPCIG00000027412.2)". It matches the Rfam family "U5 spliceosomal RNA". From Rfam's summary of the family: U5 RNA is a component of both types of known spliceosome. The precise function of this molecule is unknown, though it is known that the 5' loop is required for splice site selection and p220 binding, and that both the 3' stem-loop and the Sm site are important for Sm protein binding and cap methylation. Lineage: Eukaryota; Metazoa; Chordata; Mammalia; Diprotodontia; Phascolarctidae. The record is from Rfam by way of RNAcentral.